UAGGGAAUCUUCCGCAAUGGACGCAAGUCUGACGGAGCAACGCCGCGUGAGUGAAGAAGGAUUUCGGUUCGUAAAACUCUUUUGUUAGAGAAGAACAGCGCAUUGAGUAACUGUUAUGCGUGUGACGGUAUCUAACCAGAAAGCCACGGCUAACUACGUGCCAGCAGCCGCGGUAAUACGUAGGUGGCAAGCGUUGUCCGGAUUUAUUGGGCGUAAAGCGAGCGCAGGCGGUCAAUUAAGUCUGAUGUGAAAGCCCCCGGCUCAACCGGGGAGGGUCAUUGGAAACUAGGUGAAUGGAGUGCAGAAGAGGAGGGUGGAAUUCCAUGUGUGGCGAUGAAAUGCGUAGAUAUAUGGAGAAACACCAGUGGCGAAGGCGACUCUCUGGUCUGUAACUGACGCUGAGGCUCGAAAGCGUGGGUAGCAAACAGG
RNAcentral lists this ribosomal RNA (429 nucleotides) under Bacteroidota bacterium. RNAcentral's name for it is "Bacteroidetes bacterium partial 16S ribosomal RNA". It matches the Rfam family "Bacterial small subunit ribosomal RNA", at positions 355 to 776 of the family's 1533-position model. The record is from RNAcentral. Lineage: Bacteria; Pseudomonadati; Bacteroidota.